GGCGAACGCUGGCGGCGUGCCUAAUACAUGCAAGUCGAACGCUUCUCUCCUCCCGAGUGCUUGCACUCAAUUGGAAAGAGGAGUGGCGGACGGGUGAGUAACACGUGGGUAACCUACCCAUCAGAGGGGGAUAACACUUGGAAACAGGUGCUAAUACCGCAUAACAGUUUAUGCCGCAUGGCAUAAGAGUGAAAGGCGCUUUCGGGUGUCGCUGAUGGAUGGACCCGCGGUGCAUUAGCUAGUUGGUGAGGUAACGGCUCACCAAGGCCACGAUGCAUAGCCGACCUGAGAGGGUGAUCGGCCACACUGGGACUGAGACACGGCCCAGACUCCUACGAGAGGCAGCAGUAGGGAAUCUUCGGCAAUGGACGAAAGUCUGACCGAGCAACGCCGCGUGAGUGAAGAAGGUUUUCGGAUCGUAAAACUCUGUUGUUAGAGAAGAACAAGGACGUUAGUAACUGAACGUCCCCUGACGGUAUCUAACCAGAAAGCCACGGCUAACUACGUG
RNAcentral lists this ribosomal RNA (508 nucleotides) under uncultured bacterium. RNAcentral describes it as "partial 16S ribosomal RNA". It matches the Rfam family "Bacterial small subunit ribosomal RNA", at positions 28 to 507 of the family's 1533-position model. The record is from RNAcentral.